GUGGCGCACGGGUGAGUAACGCGUGAAUAACCUGACCCGAAGAGGGGGAUAACACCUGGAAACAAGUGCUAAUACCGCAUAAGACCACGGACCGGCAUCGGUCAGAGGUCAAAGGAGGAAUCCGCUUUGGGAGGGGUUCGCGUCCCAUUAGGUAGUUGGUGAGGUAACGGCCCACCAAGCCGACGAUGGGUAGCCGAGCUGAGAGGCUGAUCGGCCACACUGGAACUGAGACACGGUCCAGACUCCUACGGGAGGCAGCAGUGGGGAAUAUUGGGCAAUGGGCGCAAGCCUGACCCAGCAACGCCGCGUGAGGGAAGAAGGUUUUCGGAUUGUAAACCUCUGUCGCAGGGGACGAAGGAAGUGACGGUACCCUGUAAGAAAGCCCCGGCUAACUACGUGCCAGCAGCCGCGGUAAUACGUAGGGGGCGAGCGUUGUCCGGAAUUACUGGGCGUAAAGGGAGCGUAGGCGGUCGAUUAAGUUAGAUGUGAAACCCCCGGGCUUAACUUGGGGACUGCAUCUAAUACUGGUUGACUUAGAGUACAGGAGAGGGAAGCGGAAUUCCUAGUGUAGCGGUGAAAUGCGUAGAUAUUAGGAGGAACACCAGUGGCGAAGGCGGCUUUCUGGACUGACACUGACGCUGAGGCUCGAAAGCGUGGGGAGCAAACAGGAUUAGAUACCCAGGGUAGUCCACGCUGUAAACGAUGAAUUACUAGGUGUAGGGGGGUAUCAAACUCCCCUCUGUGCCGGCAGCAAACGCAAAUAAGUAAUCCACCUUGGGGAGUACGGCCGCAAGGGCUGAAACUCAAAGGAAUUGACGGGGGCCCGCACAAGCAGUGGAGUAUGUGGUUUUAAUUCGAAGCAACGCGAAGAACCUUACCAGGUCUUGACAUCGAGUGACGUAUCUAGAGAUAGAUAUUUCCUUCGGGACACGAAGACAGGUGGUGCAUGGUUGUCGUCAGCUCGUGUCGUGAGAUGUUGGGUUAAGUCCCGCAACGAGCGCAACCCUUACUAUUAGUUGCUACGCAAGAGCACUCUAAUAGGACUGCCGUUGACAAAACGGAGGGAGGUGGGGAUGACGUCAAAUCAUCAUGCCCUUUAUGACCUGGGCUACACACGUACUACAAUGGCGUUUAACAAAGGGAAGCAAAGCCGCGAGGCAGAGCAAACCCCCAAAAAACGUCUCAGUUCAGAUUGCAGGCUGCAACUCGCCUGCAUGAAGUCGGAAUUGCUAGUAAUCGUAGGUCAGCAUACUACGGUGAAUACGUUCCCGGGCCUUGUACACACCGCCCGUCA
Molecule: ribosomal RNA, 1294 nt
Filed under: uncultured bacterium
Lineage: Bacteria
Description: partial 16S ribosomal RNA
Rfam family: Bacterial small subunit ribosomal RNA
Source: RNAcentral